UCGGCUCAGCUAGCAGUAGCAGCCACCCUUCCCCCAUGCCGGCUGACACAGUACCACCAACGGGUCCCCCCUUGAUCGUGCGGCCCGUUCCCGUUGACACUACUUCAACGGGAUCUCCAUCAUCUACACCGACACCCGAAUCUGCAAGACGCAUUGUCGGCAGCGCUCGUUUGAAAGUUAGAAACCCAACAGGUAAAUACCCUAAUUCCUCUUAUAGUUGUAUUUAAGUUGCGCGCCCCAGGUGCCUGCAGCGCGCACCGGUGUGCCAGCAGCGCGCCCUAGGGUGCCCUGGGGCGCGCAUGCAAGCACCCUCGGCUGCUUACUGCUUACCUAAUUUACUGCUUAUCCUAAUGUUCUGUAUAUAUAUUAAUUGUAGCUCCGGCCCUGAAAAAGAAGCGGGGUUUCUGUUCUGAAAGAAGGCGGAGGAUAUCGUUGCACAAACGGGGCAGAAGAUCAAGCUGCAGUAUUGCCC
Molecule: long non-coding RNA, 472 nt
Filed under: Fragaria vesca (wild strawberry)
Lineage: Eukaryota; Viridiplantae; Streptophyta; Magnoliopsida; Rosales; Rosaceae
Description: long non-coding RNA (FVES_LNC003392)
Source: RNAcentral